GACGAACGCUGGCGGCGUGCUUAACACAUGCAAGUCGAACGAAGAGCGACGGAAGCUUGCUUCUAUCAAUCUUAGUGGCGGACGGGUGAGUAACGCGUAAUCAACCUGCCCUUCAGAGGGGGACAACAGUUGGAAACGACUGCUAAUACCGCAUACGAUCUAAUCUCGGCAUCGAGGAUGGAUGAAAGGUGGCCUCUACAUGUAAGCUAUCACUGAAGGAGGGGAUUGCGUCUGAUUAGCUAGUUGGAGGGGUAACGGCCCACCAAGGCGAUGAUCAGUAGCCGGUCUGAGAGGAUGAACGGCCACAUUGGGACUGAGACACGGCCCAGACUCCUACGGGAGGCAGCAGUGGGGAAUCUUCCGCAAUGGACGAAAGUCUGACGGAGCAACGCCGCGUGAGUGAUGACGGCCUUCGGAUUGUAAAGCUCUGUUAAUCGGGACGAAAGGCCUUCUUGCGAAUAGUGAGAAGGAUUGACGGUACCGGAAUAGAAAGCCACGGCUAACUACGUG
Molecule: ribosomal RNA, 510 nt
Filed under: uncultured bacterium
Lineage: Bacteria
Description: partial 16S ribosomal RNA
Rfam family: Bacterial small subunit ribosomal RNA
Source: RNAcentral